Molecule: transfer RNA, 74 nt
Rfam family: tRNA
About the family: Transfer RNA (tRNA) molecules are approximately 80 nucleotides in length. Their secondary structure includes four short double-helical elements and three loops (D, anti-codon, and T loops).
UCGGAGAUCGUCUAAUGGUAGGACUCGAGGUUCUGGUCCUCGCUAUCGGGGUUCGAAUCCCUGUCUCCGAGCAA